RNAcentral lists this ribosomal RNA (2110 nucleotides) under Actinoplanes sp. ATCC 53533. Its description in RNAcentral is "partial 23S ribosomal RNA". It matches the Rfam family "Bacterial large subunit ribosomal RNA", at positions 1 to 1897 of the family's 2925-position model. The record is from RNAcentral. Lineage: Bacteria; Bacillati; Actinomycetota; Actinomycetes; Micromonosporales; Micromonosporaceae.
ACAGUGGACGCGAGCAUCUUGUUUUCUGUAGGUUAAGUUGUCAAGGGCGAACGGUGGAUGCCUUGGCACCAGGAGCCGAUGAAGGACGUGGGAGGCCGCGAUAGGCCUGGGGGAGCUGUCAACCAAGCUGUGAUCCCAGGGUGUCCGAAUGGGGAAACCUGACAUCAGUCAUGUGGUGUCACCUGCAUCUGAAUUCAUAGGGUGUAUGGGGGGAACGCGGGGAAGUGAAACAUCUCAGUACCCGUAGGAAGAGAAAACAACAGUGAUUCCGUGAGUAGUGGCGAGCGAAAGCGGAUCUAGCCUAAACUUGUGGCGUGUGAUACCUGUCAGGGGUUACGUCAUGGGGGUUGUGGGACCCACUUAUCAUAUCUGACAGUGUGGUGAGGAGUUAUAAAGUCGCAUGUUAGUCGAACGACGUGGGAAAGUCGGCCGUAGACGGUGAGAGCCCGGUAGACGAAAAUGUGUGACCUCCUUGUGGUGUUCCCGAGUAGCGGCGGACUCCUGUAAUCUGCCGUGAAUCUGCCAGGACCACCUGGUAAGGCUGAAUACUUCCUGGUGACCGAUAGCGGACAAGUACCGUGAGGGAAUGGUGAAAAGUACCCCGGGAGGGGAGUGAAAUAGUACCUGAAACCGUUCGCCUACAAUCCGUCAGAGCCUCCUUGUUGGGGUGAUGGCGUGCCUUUUGAAGAAUGAGCCUGCGAGUUAGUGGCAUGUGGCGAGGUUAACCCGUGUGGGGUAGCCGUAGCGAAAGCGAGUCUGAAGAGGGCGUUUGAGUCGCAUGUUCUAGACCCGAAGCGGAGUGAUCUAGCCAUGGGCAGGUUGAAGCGUGGGUAAGACUGCGUGGAGGACCGAACCCACCAACGUUGAAAAGUUGGGGGAUGACCUGUGGUUAGGGGUGAAAGGCCAAUCAAACUCCGUGAUAGCUGGUUCUCCCCGAAAUGCAUUUAGGUGCAGCGUCGCGUGUUUCUUGCCGGAGGUAGAGCACUGGAUGGUCUAGGGGGCCUACAAGCUUACCGAAAUCAGCCAAACUCCGAAUGCCGGUAAGUGAGAGCGCGGCAGUGAGACUGCGGGGGAUAAGCUUCGUAGUCGAGAGGGAAACAGCCCAGAUCACCAGCUAAGGCCCCUAAGCGUGUGCUAAGUGGAAAAGGAUGUGGGAUCGCUUAGACAACCAGGAGGUUGGCUUAGAAGCAGCCAUCCUUUAAAGAGUGCGUAAUAGCUCACUGGUCAAGUGGUUCCGCGCCGACAAUGUAGCGGGGCUCAAGCACACCGCCGAAGCUGUGGGACUCACACAAUAACCCCGUUGGCCGGUUUACCGGUUGAUGCAGGUGUGUGGGUCGGUAGGGGAGCGUCGUGCUACCGGUGAAGCGGCAGGGUGACCUAGCCGUGGAGGUUGCACGAGUGAGAAUGCAGGCAUGAGUAGCGAAUGAAGGGUGAGAAACCCUUCCGCCGGAUGACCAAGGGUUCCAGGGCCAGGCUAAUCCGCCCUGGGUGAGUCGGGGCCUAAGGCGAGGCCGAGAGGCGUAGUCGAUGGAUAACGGGUUGAUAUUCCCGUACCCGCGAAGGAGCGCCCAAGACGAACCUUACUAUGCUAACCACGCGAAGUGCCGGCGGUCUUCGGACCAAGGGUAUGGAGUCUGGGAUCCUGGUGGGUAGUAGUUUAGCGAUGGGGUGACGCAGGAAGGUAGCUGAUCCCGGCCGGUGGUUGUGCCGGGGUAAGCGUGUAGGCCGUGCCAUAGGCAAAUCCGUGGCGCAUAUAGGCUGAGACGUGAUGCCGAGCCGAUUCAGGUGAAGUCAGUGAUCCUAUGCUGCCGAGAAAAGCCUCUAGCGAUGUUCCGAGCGGCCCGUACCCCAAACCGACACAGGUGGUCAGGUAGAGAAUACCGAGGCGACGGGCGAACUGUGGUUAAGGAACUCGGCAAAUUGCCCCCGUAACUUAGGGAGAAGGGGGGCCGGACGCGUGAAGCCCCUUGCGGGUGGAGCGUGGUAUGGCCGCAGAGAGCAGGGGGAAGCGACUGUUUACUAAAAACACAGGUCCAUGCCAAGUCGUAAGACGAUGUAUAUGGACUGACGCCUGCCCGGUGCUGGAACGUUAAGGGGACCUGUUAGCCCG